RNAcentral lists this transfer RNA (75 nucleotides) under Dehalococcoidia bacterium. RNAcentral's name for it is "tRNA-Gly". It matches the Rfam family "tRNA". Rfam says of the family: Transfer RNA (tRNA) molecules are approximately 80 nucleotides in length. The record is from RNAcentral. Lineage: Bacteria; Bacillati; Chloroflexota; Dehalococcoidia.
GCGGAAGUAGCUCAGUGGCAGAGCGCCUCCUGGCCAAGGAGGAGGUCGCGCGUUCGACCCUCGUCUUCCGCUCCA